GGUGAGAUGGCCGAGUUGGUUAUGGCGCCAGGUUCAGGACACUGAAUCACUAUUCCUGGUCACGAAAGUGGCGUGGGUUCGAGUCCCACUCUCAUCA
RNAcentral lists this transfer RNA (97 nucleotides) under Paraphaeosphaeria sporulosa. It matches the Rfam family "tRNA". From Rfam's summary of the family: Transfer RNA (tRNA) molecules are approximately 80 nucleotides in length. Their secondary structure includes four short double-helical elements and three loops (D, anti-codon, and T loops). Lineage: Eukaryota; Fungi; Ascomycota; Dothideomycetes; Pleosporales; Didymosphaeriaceae. The record is from Rfam by way of RNAcentral.